UGCAAAGAAAUGUGCCAUUUCCUUACCUCA
RNAcentral lists this non-coding RNA (30 nucleotides) under Mus musculus (house mouse). Lineage: Eukaryota; Metazoa; Chordata; Mammalia; Rodentia; Muridae. The record is from RNAcentral.